This 456-nucleotide ribosomal RNA is filed under the name uncultured organism. RNAcentral's name for it is "bacterial SSU rRNA". It matches the Rfam family "Bacterial small subunit ribosomal RNA", at positions 346 to 794 of the family's 1533-position model. The record is from RNAcentral.
GUGCAGCAGGCGAGAAUUUUUCUCAAUGGGGGAAACCCUGAAGGAGCGACGCCGCGUGGAGAAUGAAGGUCUUCGGGUUGUAAACUCCUGUCAUUUGGGAACAAGGUGUGCGCGUUAACUGCGCGCGCAUUGAUAGUACCAGAAGAGGAAGAGACGGCCUAACUCUGUGCCAGCAGCCGCGGUAAUACAGAGGUCUCAAGCGUUGUUCGGAUUCAUUGGGCGUAAAGGGUGCGUAGGCGGCGCGGUAAGUCGGGUGUGAAAUUUCGAGGCUUAACUUCGAAACUGCAUUCGAUACUGCCGUGCUUGAGGACUGGAGAGGAGACUGGAAUUUACGGUGUAGCGGUGAAAUGCGUAGAUAUCGUAAGGAAGACCAGUGGCGAAGGCGGGUCUCUGGACAGUUCCUGACGCUGAGGCACGAAGGCCAGGGGAGCAAACGGGAUUAGAUACCCGCGUAGU